This 77-nucleotide transfer RNA is filed under the name bacterium. Its description in RNAcentral is "tRNA-Ile". It matches the Rfam family "tRNA". From Rfam's summary of the family: Transfer RNA (tRNA) molecules are approximately 80 nucleotides in length. Their secondary structure includes four short double-helical elements and three loops (D, anti-codon, and T loops). The record is from RNAcentral.
GGGUUUGUAGCUCAGUUGGUUAGAGCACCGCUCUGAUAAGGCGGGGGUCAGUGGUUCGAGUCCACUCAAGCCCACCA